Molecule: ribosomal RNA, 1220 nt
Filed under: Sticta limbata
Lineage: Eukaryota; Fungi; Ascomycota; Lecanoromycetes; Peltigerales; Lobariaceae
Description: LSU rRNA
Rfam family: Eukaryotic large subunit ribosomal RNA
Source: RNAcentral
UUUGAAAUCUGGCUCCUUCGGGGUCCGAGUUGUAAUUUGUAGAGGGUGUUUCGGGUGCGAUGCCGGUCUAAGUUCCUUGGAACAGGACGUCGUAGAGGGUGAGAAUCCCGUAUGCGACCGGCGAUCAAGCCCGUGCGAAGCCCCUUCGACGAGUCGAGUUGUUUGGGAAUGCAGCUCAAAAUGGGUGGUAAAUUUCAUCUAAAGCUAAAUACUGGCCAGAGACCGAUAGCGGACAAGUAGAGUGAUCGAAAGAUGAAAAGCACUUUGGAAAGAGAGUCAAACAGUACGUGAAAUUGUUGAAAGGGAAGCGCUUGCAAUCAGACCGGUCCGGAGGCGAUCAGCCGCUGCUCGUCAGCGGUGCACUCGCCUGCGAUCCGGCCAGCAUCGGUUUGGGCGGCGGGAUAAAAGUCCCGGGAAUGUAGCUUCCUCCGGGGAGUCUUAUAGCCCGGGUCGCAAUGCCGCCCGCCCGGACCGAGGACCGCGCUUCGGCUAGGAUGCUGGCGUAAUGGUUGCAAGCGACCCGUCUUGAAACACGGACCAAGGAGUCUAACAUCUAUGCGAGUGUUUGGGUGUCAAACCCAGGCGCGGAAUGAAAGUGAACGGAGGUGGGAACCCGUCAGACGGCGCACCAUCGACCGAUCCAGAUGUCUUCGGAUGGAUUUGAGUAUGAGCAUAGCUGUUGGGACCCGAAAGAUGGUGAACUAUGCCCGGAUAGGGUGAAGCCAGAGGAAACUCUGGUGGAGGCUCGCAGCGGUUCUGACGUGCAAAUCGAUCGUCAAAUCUAGGCAUAGGGGCGAAAGACCAAUCGAACCAUCUAGUAGCUGGUUCCUGUCGAAGUUUCCCUCAGGAUAGCAGUAACGUUUUCAGUUUUAUGAGGUAAAGCGAAUGAUUAGAGGCCUUGGGGCUGAAACAGCCUUAACCUAUUCUCAAACUUUAAAUAUGUAAGAAGUCCUUGUUACUUAGUUGAACGUGGACAUUUGAAUGCACCGUUACUAGUGGGCCAUUUUUGGUAAGCAGAACUGGCGAUGCGGGAUGAACCGAACGCGAGGUUAAGGUGCCGGAAUGCACGCUCAUCAGACACCACAAAAAGUGUCAAUUCAUCCAGACAGCCGGACGGUGGCCAUGGAAGUCGGAAUCCGCUAAGGAGUGUGUAACAACUCACCGGCCGAAUGAAUUGGCCUUGAAAAUGGAUGGCGCUCAAGCGUGCUACCCAUACCUCG